UGAGGGAUGGUAGAGUCUGGAAGAGGGGAGAAGAGGAGACAGUGUCUGUGGACAACAUGGCAGUGGGUGGAACCGGGAGCACUAGAAUGGCUGGCAGAGGAGGUCCCUGAGGAGGAUUGGCCAAGGAAGCACAGGGCAGUGGUGUGAACUGUUCCCUCUCCUGUACUUCACAGUCAUCGGUCAUCCCCUGCUCCUACCAAAGGGUAAAUGUUGGUUCCGUCAGCUGUCUCGGCUUCGUGAAAGUUUCUUGUAGUUUUCUUUGAUCUGUAUGACAGUUCAUUGUCCCGAAGAGCUAUGUCAUCCUUGGAUUUGAUGGCUUCACUGUGUACUCCUUUUUAUUUGAAAGAAAAAAGAAGCCAACUGAAAAGAGAUCUGAGCGCUGAUCCCCGUGAGAAAGGACAAAGUCACAUCCAAAGAAGCCGUUAUGCUGCCUUUGUUCCUGGACUCUACAGAGAUCCAUAUCCAGUGUGAAACAUCUCUCUGAUCACGUAUUAGAAGUCAGCAAAUAUCAUUGAAUGCAUGAAAUGAAUCAAUCCCAUGGAAAUUUAGUUUUAAACGAAGCUUUAUUGUGAAAGAUUUCAAGCAUUGGGAAGUAAAUUGCUGGGAGCAAGCCCCCCAAAAUCUGGCUAUAAACCAGCCCCAAAACUGCCCAUAAACAAAAUCUCUGCAGCACUGUGACAUGUUCAUAAUGGCACUAACGCCCAAGCUGGAAGGUUGUGGGUUUACGGGAAUGAGGGCAAGGAACACCUGGC
This 752-nucleotide long non-coding RNA is filed under the name Homo sapiens (human). RNAcentral describes it as "non-protein coding lnc-CAPN13-2:3". The record is from RNAcentral. Lineage: Eukaryota; Metazoa; Chordata; Mammalia; Primates; Hominidae.